GUCUUCCCGCGCAGCCCCAUCCCUGUUUUCUGUGCUCCUUCGAGCUUGCUGUUUGUCCGGGUUUUUUACGUUUUAAUUUCCAGGACUUGAACUGCCAUGUCCUCUGAAGAAGGAAAGCUCUUCGUGGGAGGGCUCAACUUUAACACCGACGAGCAGGCACUGGAAGACCACUUCAGCAGUUUCGGACCUAUCUCUGAGGUGGUCGUUGUCAAGGACCGGGAGACUCAGCGGUCCAGGGGUUUUGGUUUCAUCACCUUCACCAACCCAGAGCAUGCUUCAGUUGCCAUGAGAGCCAUGAACGGAGAGGGGGUGGAGGGCAGCGGCAGACAGAGCCUGGCCGCCUGGGAGGCGACGACUGGUCCUGCAUGAGGCCGAGAAGCCACCUGUGGAUGGUUGACCUGCCUUGGGCUUAGGUAGUAGAGUCUGCAGACCUGUGGGCCUGGCCCGGAGAGGACCUCGUGAGUCUUCUGACAUGGACUCUGAAGCCUCAAACCAAGAGAGGUGUCUGUCUAGCCCUGAUAGUCGGGCAGCUUAGAGGAGUGGGGAGGAGAACUCAGCCUGAGUUCAGUCAAGAUUCUCUGGAUGGUCGUCAGAUCCGUGUGGAUCAUGCAGGCAAGUCUGCUCGGGGAACCAGAGGAGGUGGCUUUGGGGCCCAUGGGCGUGGUCGCAGCUACUCUAGAGGUGGUGGGGACCAGGGCUAUGGGAGUGGCAGGUAUUAUGACAGUCGACCUGGAGGGUAUGGAUAUGGAUAUGGACGUUCCAGAGACUAUAAUGGCAGAAACCAGGGUGGUUAUGACCGCUACUCAGGAGGAAAUUACAGAGACAAUUAUGACAACUGAAAUGAGACAUGCACAUAAUAUAGAUACACAAGGAAUAAUUUCUGAUCCAGGAUCGUCCUUCCAAAAUGGCUGUAUUUAUAAAGGUUUUUGGAGCUGCACUGAAGCAUCUUAUUUUAUAGUAUAUCAACCUUUUGUUUUUAAAUUGACCUGCCAAGGUAGCUGAAGACCUUUUAGACAGUUCCAUCUUUUUUUAAAAUUUUUCUGCCUAUUUAAAGACAAAUUAUGGGACGUUUGUAGAACCUGAGUAUUUUUCUUUUUACCAAUUUUUUAGUUUGAGCUCUUAGGAUUAUUGGAGCUAGCAAUAAUUGGUUCUGGCAAGUUUGGCCAGACUGACUUCAAAAAAUUAAUGUGUAUCCAGGGACAUUUUAAAAACCUGUACACAGUGUUUAUUGUGGUUAGAAAGCAAUUUUCCAAAUGUACCUAUAAGAAAUGUGCAUCAAGCCAGCCUGACCAACAUGGUGAAACCCCAUCUGUACUAAACAUAAAAAAAUUAGCCUGGCAUGGUGGUGUGUGCCUGUAAUCCCAGUGACUCGGGA
This 1375-nucleotide small RNA is filed under the name Pongo abelii (Sumatran orangutan). RNAcentral's name for it is "processed transcript". Lineage: Eukaryota; Metazoa; Chordata; Mammalia; Primates; Hominidae. The record is from RNAcentral.